UGAUGCACUGUACCCUCAAACCAAGAGGCAAAG
RNAcentral lists this non-coding RNA (33 nucleotides) under Mus musculus (house mouse). The record is from RNAcentral. Lineage: Eukaryota; Metazoa; Chordata; Mammalia; Rodentia; Muridae.